GCAGCCUUCGCCUCUUCAGUAGCUGGGUAACCAUAGUGAGAGGAGGUGCUGGCGGUGGACGGCGUGCACGAAGGUUUGAGCAAGGGAGGCAGCUCAAGGGCAAUGAAAAAAAAAAAAGCCUGCAUUGGAUCCUCGGUGCGAUGUGUAGCUCCUUACUCACCCUGUCGCGCCUUGAAACAGCAUCUUCUCUUAUCUAAUCAAGAAUGUCAUCAACAGAUUCAUGACGCCCUUUGGACACUGCUGCUGCCGCCGCCUUUCCCAAGCAUCUUUUCCAGUGUUCAUGGAGGAGCCUCGCCAAACCUUACUUCUUCCCCUUUGAAGCCAACUCAAGGCCACGGAUGUAUUUUUUUGGCAAAUGCCUCCCACAACCUCAGCACCAAUAAAAGCAUCUUACCUAAAAGAAGCUUGCCAAUGAAGGCCACUUGGUUCCCCUGCACCAGAACCUGUAUGGUGCCUUGGGGCUUAUGCUCAGCUGGGCCGACGCUCGUGCUGGCCGCUACGCCCACC
Molecule: long non-coding RNA, 507 nt
Organism: Eriocheir sinensis (Chinese mitten crab)
Lineage: Eukaryota; Metazoa; Arthropoda; Malacostraca; Decapoda; Varunidae
Exons: 4
Source: RefSeq, a predicted model, not a curated record